Molecule: non-coding RNA, 60 nt
Organism: Acidobacteriaceae bacterium KBS 83
Lineage: Bacteria; Pseudomonadati; Acidobacteriota; Terriglobia; Terriglobales; Acidobacteriaceae
Source: Rfam
GGUUGCAACAUCCCCGCAGGCUGGGCGAGGCAGACGCUUCGCAGUGAGCCGGCUGCAACC